CCAACGGAUUUUUUCCAUUGAAAAAUUUUCGUUGGAAAUUCGUUGAAAAUCCAUCGAAAAUAACAUUAAAAAUUUUU
Theobroma cacao (cacao) is the source of this 77-nucleotide non-coding RNA. NCBI's taxonomy places the organism in Eukaryota, Viridiplantae, Streptophyta, Magnoliopsida, Malvales, Malvaceae. The record is from Rfam.